This 316-nucleotide unclassified non-coding RNA is filed under the name Hevea brasiliensis (rubber tree). The record is from RNAcentral. Lineage: Eukaryota; Viridiplantae; Streptophyta; Magnoliopsida; Malpighiales; Euphorbiaceae.
AUGAGAAACUUGUAAUGUUUGGAAUGAUUGCCAAAUGUUGUGUUAGAAGUAUCUCUUAGGCAUACUUGAAUUUGAUGAUAGUCGGAGCAGAGAUCAAUUUUAGAAAAAUACACUGCCCCAUGAACUUUAUCAAGCAUCUCCUGUGAUCGGGAUGAUAUUUGUCUAGAAUAGUGAUUUUAUUGAAAGCAUGAUAGUAGACACAAAAUCGUCUAUCUAUUGUCUUUUUUUUCUGCACAAGCAAAACGAGACUGGUGAAUAGGUUGGAGCUAGGGUAGAUUAUACUGACUGUUAACAUUUCAUUCACCAUUUUCUCAAU